This 877-nucleotide ribosomal RNA is filed under the name uncultured bacterium. Its description in RNAcentral is "bacterial SSU rRNA". It matches the Rfam family "Bacterial small subunit ribosomal RNA", at positions 8 to 915 of the family's 1533-position model. The record is from RNAcentral.
AGAGUUGAUCCUGGCUCAGGAUGAACGCUGGCGGCGUGCCUAACACAUGCAAGUCGAGCGAUUUACUUCGGUAAAGAGCGGCGGACGGGUGAGUAACGCGUGGGUAACCUGCCCUGUACACACGGAUAACAUACCGAAAGGUAUGCUAAUACGGGAUAAUGUACUUUGAUGGCAUCAUCGAAGUAUCAAAGCUCCGGCGGUACAGGAUGGACCCGCGUCUGAUUAGCUAGUUGGAGAGGUAAUGGCUCACCAAGGCAACGAUCAGUAGCCGACCUGAGAGGGUGAUCGGCCACAUUGGAACUGAGACACGGUCCAAACUCCUACGGGAGGCAGCAGUGGGGAGUAUUGCACAAUGGGCGAAAGCCUGAUGCAGCAACGCCGCGUGAGCGAUGAAGGCCUUCGGGUCGUAAAGCUCUGUCCUCAAGGAAGAUAAUGACGGUACUUGAGGAGGAAGCCCCGGCUAACUACGUGCCAGCAGCCGCGGUAAUACGUAGGGGGCUAGCGUUAUCCGGAAUUACUGGGCGUAAAGGGUGCGUAGGUGGUUUCUUAAGUCAGAGGUGAAAGGCUACGGCUCAACCGUAGUAAGCCUUUGAAACUGAGAAACUUGAGUGCAGGAGAGGAGAGUAGAAUUCCUAGUGUAGCGGUGAAAUGCGUAGAUAUUAGGAGGAAUACCAGUUGCGAAGGCGGCUCUCUGGACUGUAACUGACACUGAGGCACGAAAGCGUGGGGAGCAAACAGGAUUAGAUACCCUGGUAGUCCACGCCGUAAACGAUGAGUACUAGGUGUCGGGGGUUACCCCCCUCGGUGCCGCAGCUAACGCAUUAAGUACUCCGCCUGGGAAGUACGCUCGCAAGAGUGAAACUCAAAGGAAUUGACG